UCGGGAAUUUUGGGCAAUGGGGGAAACCCUGACCCAGCAACGCCGCGUGAAGGAUGAAGUAUUUCGGUAUGUAAACUUCGAAAGAAUAGGAAGAAUAAAUGACGGUACUAUUUAUAAGGUCCGGCUAACUACGUGCCAGCAGCCGCGGUAAUACGUAGGGACCAAGCGUUGUUCGGAUUUACUGGGCGUAAAGGGCGCGUAGGCGGCAUGACAAGUCACUUGUGAAAUCUCUGGGCUUAACCCAGAACGGCCAAGUGAUACUGUCGCGCUAGAGUGCAGAAGGGGCAAUCGGAAUUCUUGGUGUAGCGGUGAAAUGCGUAGAUAUCAAGAGGAACACCUGAGGUGAAGACGGGUUGCUGGGCGGUUACUGACACUGAGGGACGAAAGCAAGGGGAGCAAACAGGAUUAGAUACCCACGUAGUCCCUGAGCGGGCUGGCAAGGCGCAU
This 447-nucleotide ribosomal RNA is filed under the name uncultured bacterium. RNAcentral describes it as "bacterial SSU rRNA". It matches the Rfam family "Bacterial small subunit ribosomal RNA", at positions 355 to 825 of the family's 1533-position model. The record is from RNAcentral.